GAUGAACGCUAGCGGUGUGCCUAAUGCAUGCAAGUCGAACGGGAUCCUUUGGAUUCGUCUGAAGGUGAGAGUGGCGAACGGGUGAGUAACACGUAGGUGACCUGCCCCGGAGAGGGGGACAACCACUGGAAACGGUGGCUAAUACCCCAGAUGUUAUUGCGCUUAGAAAGCAAUUACUAAAGUUCCGGCGCUCCGGGAGGGGCCUGCGGCCCAUCAGCUUGUUGGUAAGGUAAUGGCUUACCAAGGCUAAGACGGGUAGGGGGCGUGAGAGCGUGACCCCCCACACUGGUACUGAGACACGGACCAGAUACCUGCGGGUAGCAGCAGCAAGGAAUAUUGCCCAAUGGACGAAAGUCUGAGGCAGCAACACCGCGUGGAGGAUGAAGGCCUUCGGGUUGUAAACUCCUUUUCUGGGGGAAGAGAAAGGACGGUACCCCAGGAAUAAGUCUCGGCUAACUACGUGCCAGCAGCCGCGG
This 476-nucleotide ribosomal RNA is filed under the name uncultured bacterium. RNAcentral describes it as "bacterial SSU rRNA". It matches the Rfam family "Bacterial small subunit ribosomal RNA", at positions 28 to 520 of the family's 1533-position model. The record is from RNAcentral.